GUGAGGAAUAUUGGUCAAUGGGCGGGAGCCUGAACCAGCCAAGUCGCGUGAAGGAAGAAGGAUCUAUGGUUCGUAAACUUCUUUUGUAGGGGAAUAAAGUGCAGGACGUGUCCUGUUUUGUAUGUACCCUGAGAAUAAGGAUCGGCUAACUCCGUGCCAGCAGCCGCGCUAAUACGGAGGAUCCGAGCGUUAUCCGGAUUUAUUGGGUUUAAAGGGUGCGUAGGUGGUUUGAUAAGUCAGCGGUGAAAGUUUGCAGCUUAACUGUAAAAAUGCCGUUGAAACUGUCGGACUUGAGUGUAAAUGAGGUAGGCGGAAUGCGUGGUGUAGCGGUGAAAUGCAUAGAUAUCACGCAGAACUCCGAUUGCGAAGGCAGCUUACUAAGCUACAACUGACACUGAAGCACGAAAGCGUGGGGAUCAAACAGGAUUAGAAACCCGAGUAGUCC
This 445-nucleotide ribosomal RNA is filed under the name uncultured bacterium. Its description in RNAcentral is "partial 16S ribosomal RNA". It matches the Rfam family "Bacterial small subunit ribosomal RNA", at positions 354 to 796 of the family's 1533-position model. The record is from RNAcentral.